Molecule: ribosomal RNA, 754 nt
Filed under: uncultured Bacillota bacterium
Lineage: Bacteria; Bacillati; Bacillota
Description: bacterial SSU rRNA
Rfam family: Bacterial small subunit ribosomal RNA
Source: RNAcentral
GCGGGACUGCAAGUUGGAUGUGAAAUACCGGAGCUCAACUCCGGAACUGCAUCCAAAACUGUAGUUCUUGAGUGGAGUAGAGGUAAGCGGAAUUCCGAGUGUAGCGGUGAAAUGCGUAGAUAUUCGGAGGAACACCAGUGGCGAAGGCGGCUUACUGGGCUCUAACUGACGCUGAGGCACGAAAGUGUGGGUAGCAAACAGGAUUAGAUACCCUGGUAGUCCACACUGUAGACGAUGAAUACUAGGUGUGGGGGGACUGACCCCUUCCGUGCCGGAGUUAACACAAUAAGUAUUCCACCUGGGGAGUACGACCGCAAGGUUGAAACUCAAAGGAAUUGACGGGGGCCCGCACAAGCAGUGGAGUAUGUGGUUUAAUUCGAAGCAACGCGAAGAACCUUACCAGGUCUUGACAUCCGACUAACGAAGUAGAGAUACAUUAGGUGCCCUUCGGGGAAAGUCGAGACAGGUGGUGCAUGGUUGUCGUCAGCUCGUGUCGUGAGAUGUUGGGUUAAGUCCCGCAACGAGCGCAACCCCUGCCAAUAGUUGCUACGCAAGAGCACUCUAUUGGGACCGCUACCGACAAGGUGGAGGAAGGUGGGGAUGACGUCAAAUCAUCAUGCCCUUUAUGACCUGGGCUACACACGUACUACAAUGGCCGUUAACAGAGGGAAGCAAUAUCGCGAGGUGGAGCAAAUCCCUAAAAACGGUCCCAGUUCAGAUUGUAGGCUGCAACUCGCCUAUAUGAAGUUGGAAU